UUAAAUUGAAGAGUUUGAUCAUGGCUCAGAUUGAACGCUGGCGGCAGGCCUAACACAUGCAAGUCGAACGGUAACAGAAAGAAGCUUGCUUCUUUGCUGACGAGUGGCGGACGGGUGAGUAAUGUCUGGGAAACUGCCUGAUGGAGGGGAUAACUACUG
RNAcentral lists this ribosomal RNA (159 nucleotides) under Escherichia sp. E3356. RNAcentral describes it as "partial 16S ribosomal RNA". It matches the Rfam family "Bacterial small subunit ribosomal RNA", at positions 1 to 152 of the family's 1533-position model. Lineage: Bacteria; Pseudomonadati; Pseudomonadota; Gammaproteobacteria; Enterobacterales; Enterobacteriaceae. The record is from RNAcentral.